This 449-nucleotide ribosomal RNA is filed under the name uncultured bacterium. Its description in RNAcentral is "partial 16S ribosomal RNA". It matches the Rfam family "Bacterial small subunit ribosomal RNA", at positions 329 to 793 of the family's 1533-position model. The record is from RNAcentral.
CGCCAGACUCCUACGGGAGGCAGCAGUGGGGAAUAUUGGGCAAUGGGCGCAAGCCUGACCCAGCAACGCCGCGUGAAGGAAGAAGGCUUUCGGGUUGUAAACUUCUUUUGACAGGGAAGAGUAGAAGACGGUACCUGUCGAAUAAGCCACGGCUAACUACGUGCCAGCAGCCGCGGUAAUACGUAGGGGGCAAGCGUUAUCCGGAUUUACUGGGUGUAAAGGGAGCGUAGACGGCCAGACAAGUCUGAAGUGAAAAUCCAGCGCUUAACGUUGGAAGUGCUUUGGAAACGGCCGGGCUGGAGUGCAGGAGGGGCAGGCGGAAUUCCUAGUGUAGCGGGGAAAUGCGUAGAUAUUAGGAGGAACCCCGGUGGCGAAGGCGGCCUGCUGGACUGCGACUGACGUUGAGGCCCGAAAGCGUGGGGAGCAAACAGGAUUAGAUACCCGAGUAC